This 305-nucleotide ribosomal RNA is filed under the name uncultured bacterium. Its description in RNAcentral is "bacterial SSU rRNA". It matches the Rfam family "Bacterial small subunit ribosomal RNA", at positions 338 to 636 of the family's 1533-position model. The record is from RNAcentral.
CCUACGGGGCGCAGCAGUAGGGAAUCUUCGGCAAUGGGCGAAAGCCUGACCGAGCAACGCCGCGUGAAUGAAGAAGGCCUUCGGGUUGUAAAAUUCUGUUAUAAGGGAAGAAAGGUGAUAGGAGGAAAUGACUAUCAAUUGACGGUACCUUAUGAGAAAGCCACGGCUAACUACGUGCCAGCAGCCGCGGUAAUACGUAGGUGGCAAGCGUUAUCCGGAAUUAUUGGGUUUAAAGGGUGCGUAGGCGGGCUUUUAAGUCAGCGGUAAAAAUUCGGGGCUCAACCCCGUCCGGCCGUUGAAACUGG